AUUAUAAUUAUAUAUAAACGCCCACACAAAUCAUAGAAAGUACGUAGAAAAGGCCACGAAAUAAUUGCACCCAAAAAAAUCAGAUUCCUGAAAACGAAUUCUUCAAAGAGAGUGGGGAAGCUGCAUGUGGCGUCUCCAUCAUUUCUCUGAGAUUGCCACGGAGCUCAAUUGUUAUAUCGUUCAAUCGCUGCUGCUGAGAUGUUUUGUUUUAGGAAUCACUUUUCCCUUUUCUCUUCUGUUGCAACUUCUUCUCGCCAAAGUUUUGAAAUUCGUUUAGAAGACCAUUCUGGUUGAGGCACUGGAAUGGAAUAUUUCGAUACCGAUAGGUUGGUGCAAGUGCUUGGAUGGUGUAGAGCAUUAAACCGGACGGUGCAGAGCAGCCAAGUUUGAUCUUCUGCAUUCACACUUAGUGGCUUUUUCAACAGUGUACAGAGCAAUCUUAAAUUCAUGUGAUUCAUACAACCUAAGAUCCAAUCAAUGGAAUUCAUUGUUAUGCAUGCAUAAAGAAAGCGUGACACAGCUGCUUAAACCAAUUAGAAGGUGAUGAAGUACUAAGGGAGGAAAAUAUGAAAUGAUCUAUGCUUCAAGUACACUAUCUAUUCUGAAUUUGCAAAAGAAUGUGAAAAAGUAUAGUAAUGAGAACCAAGUACGUACUUCUUAAAAGGCCAAAAGACAAAUCUUUAUUCAUACCCAAAUCCUUCUUCUAUAAAAGAAGUUUCCAGCCACUUCUAUGAAAACAUAUGCUAAUAACUCUAAACAGUUAUCUAACUUAUAUGGCUUAUCAAACAUAUGCCAAUAACUCUCAAUACUUAUUAAUUUAUUGUCUUGUUAACAUAGUUGUAAUCAUCACCAUUUAUUAAAACAAGCUAGUUUUAUAUGGCAGAUUUGUACUCAGCAUUAUCUCUGGUUUCAAUUGAGCUAUGUAAAAAGCUUUCUGAUCCAGAAGCGUUUGCAUUCACUCUGCCGCAGUUCAAUCUAACUUCUCCUUCCGACCCCGUUAACACACUGAUAUUCCCCAUUUUAAGCAUCGACUCCACGAAGCUGGCAAAGAAAGCACUCUGGUCACUACUAAAGUUGUUGACAAUAUCAAUGGUGUCCGCUCCUGUCGUUGAGAACAGCUCUUGAUCGGUCUGCAGUAAUCCGUUCAAAAGUUGAAGAUUGGAGAAGUAAUUGUUGUCAAAAGUAUCGGGUGUUGUGAGGUCGAGGUUUGCCAAGCCAGUCUCAUUUCCAUUCUGGGGGCAUAUUCCUUGGAGAGUUUCCAAGUAGGUUGAGUUCAGGGUGACAUCAGGACUACCUGUGUUGUUGAAAUCGUACAAUCGGCCACUGAAAGUCGGACACCGUGCGCGUCCAAACGUGUGAGCGCCUGAAAAUUACGCAUGUCAACUUUGUCAUCCAAUACAUAUUUGCGAAUAUCAAUCAUGAAAAAUUACUUGAAAUGUGACAUAUUUUUGGACGCUAGUGAUGAUUAUAGAAAUGCUACCUGAGAGGGAAACCAGAUCGGUGGUGUUCAGCCCCACAGCUAAGAAGACCAUUUUAAGAGUGUCAAGGGUAUCGACGGCGCUUGGAAGGGAAAUAUCAGCAGCAGUACGGUUGGCUGUUGUGCCGUCCCUUCUUCCCAGUAAAACUGCCCACGAGGGACCAUUUGCCUGUGAGCACCAAUUGGUUUGCUUCAUAUGUAAAACAGACAUGCU
Molecule: long non-coding RNA, 1691 nt
Organism: Carya illinoinensis
Lineage: Eukaryota; Viridiplantae; Streptophyta; Magnoliopsida; Fagales; Juglandaceae
Exons: 2
Source: RefSeq, a predicted model, not a curated record